This is a non-coding RNA of Parelaphostrongylus tenuis, 72 nucleotides long. Lineage: Eukaryota; Metazoa; Nematoda; Chromadorea; Rhabditida; Metastrongylidae. The record is from the annotation of a GenBank genome assembly.
GCGUGAGUAGUGGAAUGGUACAGCACGUACUCCCGGAAAGAGUAGGUCUGGGUCCGAAUUCCACCUGACGCA